UUUUUCCUUUAUGUGUGAAACAACUGCAUCAAAAAAAACCAAAAUAUUUUAGAUUUUACUUUCAGUGUUUUACUCCCUAGUGGGGUUUCCUUUAAUUUGAAUUUUUGUUGGGAUGUGGUUUUGUGGGGGUUUUGAGACUACUAUGGUUUUUUUUUGUAGCUGUUCUCUUGGUGUUCAUGGAAACACCUACUGCCAUGUGACACUAGGACUGUGCCUUCUGUCACUGCCUUCUGCUCAGCAGCUCACCCAGCACAGCUGCUUCAGGUCAAAGGGGAAAAUCCACAGUUGACUCAGCUGAACUGAAAGGUGAAGAGCACAGAUGGACUUGUCCUGCUCCUGAGGACAGUUCAAACAGGUGCCUGUUCGAGCUCGUGACGCCCUGAACUGUAAUAAUUAACUUUGGUAGUUUCAAAAUUGAUCACCCUAUGCUUAAAGUUUUGCCACCAACUCCAAAGGGCAGCAGAGCCUAUUCUGUUUGUUAAUAAAACAGCCGGCAUCAGGCUCAUAGGUGGCGACAGGAAUGUUCACAGCUUGGCUUUGACUACUCAAAUAGUCAUUGUUUUCCUUAAGCUGCUAUCAUUCUCACUUAGGAAGAGUGUUCUUAAGGUUUUUACAGAUGCCCACUUAAUUGUAAAUUGGACAUUUAAACUUCUGGAACUUUUUAAAAUGAGAAAGAUUGCUGACUCUUAAAAGUUACAGGAAACGAUUUUCAUCAGAAAACUUCAAACCAAGUAAUGUAGACACGGUGGUGUCUUACAGUCCUCUAAACAAGGUGCUUCCGCCCACGCUGGCCAGCCUG
Molecule: non-coding RNA, 799 nt
Organism: Ceratotherium simum simum (southern white rhinoceros)
Lineage: Eukaryota; Metazoa; Chordata; Mammalia; Perissodactyla; Rhinocerotidae
Source: RefSeq, a predicted model, not a curated record